GGUUAAGCGACUAAGCGUACACGGUGGAUGCCCUGGCAGUCAGAGGCGAUGAAGGGCGUGCUAAUCUGCGAUAAGCGCCGGUAAGGUGAUAUGAACCGUUAUAACCGGCGAUACCCGAAUGGGGAAACCCAGUGUGACUCGUCACACUAUCAUUAACUGAAUCCAUAGGUUAAUGAGGCGAACCGGGGGAACUGAAACAUCUAAGUACCCCGAGGAAAAGAAAUCAACCGAGAUUCCCCCAGUAGCGGCGAGCGAACGGGGAGGAGCCCAGAGCCUGAAUCAGCAUGUGUGUUAGUGGAAGCGUCUGGAAAGACGCGCGAUACAGGGUGACAGCCCCGUACACAAAAGCGUAUGUGCUGUGAGCUCGAUGAGUAGGGCGGGACACGUGGUAUCCUGUCUGAAUAUGGGGGGACCAUCCUCCAAGGCUAAAUACUCCUGACUGACCGAUAGUGAACCAGUACCGUGAGGGAAAGGCGAAAAGAACCCCGGCGAGGGGAGUGAAAAAGAACCUGAAACCGUGUACGUACAAGCAGUGGGAGCACAGGUUUACCUGUGUGACUGCGUACCUUUUGUAUAAUGGGUCAGCGACUUAUAUUCUGUAGCAAGGUUAACCGAAUAGGGGAGCCGGAGGGAAACCGAGUCUUAAUUGGGCGUUAAGUUGCAGGGUAUAGACCCGAAACCCGGUGAUCUAGCCAUGGGCAGGUUGAAGGUUGGGUAACACUAACUGGAGGACCGAACCGACUAAUGUUGAAAAAUUAGCGGAUGACCUGUGGCUGGGGGUGAAAGGCCAAUCAAACCGGGAGAUAGCUGGUUCUCCCCGAAAGCUAUUUAGGUAGCGCCUCGUGAAUUCAUCUCCGGGGGUAGAGCACUGUUUCGGCUAGGGGGUCAUCCCGACUUACCAACCCGAUGCAAACUGCGAAUACCGGAGAAUGUUAUCACGGGAGACACACGGCGGGUGCUAACGUCCGUCGUGAAGAGGGAAACAACCCAGACCGCCAGCUAAGGUCCCAAAGUCAUGGUUAAGUGGGAAACGAUGUGGGAAGGCCCAGACAGCCAGGAUGUUGGCUUAGAAGCAGCCAUCAUUUAAAGAAAGCGUAAUAGCUCACUGGUCGAGUCGGCCUGCGCGGAAGAUGUAACGGGGCUAAACCAUGCACCGAAGCUGCGGCAGCGACACUCAGGUGUUGUUGGGUAGGGGAGCGUUCUGUAAGCCUGCGAAGGUGGCCUGUGAGGGUUGCUGGAGGUAUCAGAAGUGCGAAUGCUGACAUAAGUAACGAUAAAGCGGGUGAAAAGCCCGCUCGCCGGAAGACCAAGGGUUCCUGUCCAACGUUA
This 1329-nucleotide ribosomal RNA is filed under the name Salmonella enterica subsp. enterica serovar Agona str. 400095 17. Its description in RNAcentral is "bacterial LSU rRNA". It matches the Rfam family "Bacterial large subunit ribosomal RNA", at positions 1 to 1367 of the family's 2925-position model. Lineage: Bacteria; Pseudomonadati; Pseudomonadota; Gammaproteobacteria; Enterobacterales; Enterobacteriaceae. The record is from RNAcentral.